Molecule: ribosomal RNA, 469 nt
Filed under: uncultured bacterium
Lineage: Bacteria
Description: partial 16S ribosomal RNA
Rfam family: Bacterial small subunit ribosomal RNA
Source: RNAcentral
GACGAACGCUGGCGGCGUGCUUAACACAUGCAAGUCGAACGGAAAGGCCCUGCUUGCAGGGUGCUCGAGUGGCGAACGGGUGAGUAACACGUGGGUGAUCUGCCCCUUACUUUGUGAUAAGCCUGGGAAACUGGGUCUAUUACUGGAUAGGACCAUGCUGUAGGUGGUGUGGUGGAAAGAUUAGUUUCGGUAAGGGAUGAGCUCGCGGCGUGUCAGCUUGUUGGUGGGGUAAUGGCCUACCAAGGCGUCGACGGGUAGCCGGCCUGAGAGGGUGGACGGCAACAUUGGGACUGAGAUACGGCGCAGAAUCCUACGGGAGGCAGCAGUGGGGAAUAUUGCACAAUGGGCGCAAGCCUGAUGCAGCGACGCCGCGUGGGGGAUGACGGCCUUCGGGUUGUAAACUCCUUUCAGCCAUGACGAAGCCCUUGUGGUGACGGUAGUGGUAGAAGAAGCACCGGCUAACUACGUG